This 301-nucleotide ribosomal RNA is filed under the name uncultured bacterium. Its description in RNAcentral is "partial 16S ribosomal RNA". It matches the Rfam family "Bacterial small subunit ribosomal RNA", at positions 509 to 807 of the family's 1533-position model. The record is from RNAcentral.
CAGUCGCCACGGUAAUACGGAGGGUGCAAGCGUUAUCCGGAUUUAUUGGGUUUAAAGGGUCCGUAGGCGGACUUAUAAGUCAGUGGUGAAAGCCUGUCGCUUAACGAUAGAACUGCCAUUGAUACUGUAAGUCUUGAGUAUAUUUGAGGUAGCUGGAAUAAGUAGUGUAGCGGUGAAAUGCAUAGAUAUUACUUAGAACACCAAUUGCGAAGGCAGGUUACCAAGAUAUAACUGACGCUGAGGGACGAAAGCGUGGGUAGCGAACAGGAUUAGAGACCCGUGUAGUCCCUGUCUCUUAUAC